GCUAAUUUAGUCAAUUAUUUUUUAUUUUUAAAAUUGGUUUCAAUUCAAUGAUUUUCUUUUAAUGCACAUUUUGUUUUCAUAUUUUACAGCUCAAAUAUAGAGAGAUUUUUUUUUAUCAAGACACUUCAAAAGUCAAAAGUGUCCCAACCCUUAUAUUGUUUUCAUAUUUUACAGAUCAAACAUAGAGAGAUUUUUUUUAUCAAGACACUUCAAAAGUCAAAAGUGUCCCAACCCUUAUAUUGUUUUCAUAUUUUACAGAUCAAACAUAAAGAGAUUUUUUUUAUCAAGACACUUCAAAAAGUCAAAAGUGUCCCAACCCUUAUAUUGUUUUCAUAUUUUACAGUUCAAACAUAGAGAGAUUUUUUUUUAUCCAGACACUUCAAAAGUCAAAAGUGUCCCAACCUUUAUAU
Molecule: long non-coding RNA, 410 nt
Filed under: Phaseolus vulgaris (common bean)
Lineage: Eukaryota; Viridiplantae; Streptophyta; Magnoliopsida; Fabales; Fabaceae
Description: long non-coding RNA (PVUL_LNC005284)
Source: RNAcentral